GACGAACGCUGGCGGCGUGCUUAACACAUGCAAGUCGAACGGAAAGGCCCUGCUUGCAGGGUACUCUAGUGGCGAACGGGUGUGUAACACGUGUGUGUUCUGCCCUGCACUUCGGGAUAUGCCUUCAAAACUCUGUCUAUUACCCCGUAGGAGCCCUUCUGAUUCUUAUUGUGGGAUGGUUUUUUGGGUCUAGGAAGGGCUCGCGGCCUAUCCGCCUGUUGGUGGGGUGAUGGCCUACCUACGGGGCGACGGGUAGGCGGCCUGGGGGGGUGGACGGCCAAAGUGGGGCUGAGAAACGGCCCAGACUCCUAAGGGGGGCAGCAGUGGGGAAUAUUGCACAAUGGGGGCGAGCCUGAUGCAGCGACGCCGCGUGGGGGAUGACGGGCUUUGGGUUGGAAACUCGUUUCGGUAGGGACGAAGCUUUUUGUGACGGUACCUGGAAAAGAAGCACCGGCUAACUACGUG
This 465-nucleotide ribosomal RNA is filed under the name uncultured bacterium. Its description in RNAcentral is "partial 16S ribosomal RNA". It matches the Rfam family "Bacterial small subunit ribosomal RNA", at positions 28 to 507 of the family's 1533-position model. The record is from RNAcentral.